UUCGUUGCUCAUAAUUAUUUUCUCCAACAACGACCUGUUGAAUGAGCUCGAUAACAUCUCGGAAUAUUUCCUAUUUUCUUUCUCUUUUCAUUUCCUCCUUCUUUUUCCUUUCUUUUCUAAUGGAUCUUAUCAACGUACGAUUUAACGAUUAAUUAGUAAGAGUAAGAGUUGAGAGAUUAACUGUAUUAAUAUCUCUGUCUUUCAUCAAGGCCAUUUAAUACGCAUGUAACGAGUGGUGCGUUGCUCGCUGAUAUCUAAUAACAUUCUCACGUUAGAACGUACGGUGGUUUCCUUUGACUUUCCAUCAUGGUUAUGGUAAUUACUGGAUUCGACUUGGCCGCCGUUACGAGACGCGGCGAAACACGCGAAGGAAAUCGUAUCUAAGAUCGUAAGUAGAAAAAGGAAGAAAGAAAAAUGA
Molecule: long non-coding RNA, 418 nt
Organism: Vespula pensylvanica (western yellowjacket)
Lineage: Eukaryota; Metazoa; Arthropoda; Insecta; Hymenoptera; Vespidae
Exons: 2
Source: RefSeq, a predicted model, not a curated record